Molecule: ribosomal RNA, 402 nt
Filed under: bacterium
Lineage: Bacteria
Description: partial 16S ribosomal RNA
Rfam family: Bacterial small subunit ribosomal RNA
Source: RNAcentral
UGGGGAAUAUUGCACAAUGGGGGAAACCCUGAUGCAGCGACGCCGCGUGAACGAAGAAGGUAUUCGUAUCGUAAAGUUCUGUCCUAUGGGAAGAUAAUGACAGUACCAUAGAAGAAAGCUCCGGCUAAAACGUUGCAGCAACCGCGGUAAUACGUAUGGAGCGAGCGUUGUCCGGAAUUAUUGGGCGUAAAGGGUACGGAGGCGGUUUAAUAAGUCGAAUGUUAAAGAUCGGGGCUCAACCCCGCAAAGCAUUGGAAACUGAUAAACUUGAGUAGUGGAGAGGAAAGUGGAAUUCCUAGUGUAGUGGUGAAAUACGUAGAUAUUAGGAGGAAUACCAGUAGCGAAGGCGACUUUCUGGACACAAACUGACGCUGAGGUACGAAAGCGUGGGGAGCAAACAGG